Molecule: long non-coding RNA, 508 nt
Filed under: Physcomitrium patens
Lineage: Eukaryota; Viridiplantae; Streptophyta; Bryopsida; Funariales; Funariaceae
Description: long non-coding RNA (PPAT_LNC005053)
Source: RNAcentral
GUUUGGAUUAAAUUAGGAUUUGAUUUAGGAUCCGGAUUGAAUUAGAAUUUGAUUUAGAAUUACGAUUGGAUUAAGAUUAGGAUUUGAAUUGAAUUAAGAUUUGGUUUAGAAUUAAGAUUAGAUUAGGAUUUAAAAUUUAAUUAAGAUUUGAUUAGGAUUUAGGAUUUGGUUUAGGAUUUGUUGAGUGUUUAAGAUUUAGGAUUUGUUUAAGGCUUAGGAUUUAAGAUUUACUUAAGAUUUAGGAUUUAGGAUUUAGGAUUUAUUUAAGAUUUAAGAUUUAGAAUUUGUUUAGGAUUUAGAAUUUAGGAUUUGCUUAUGGUUUACGGUUUAGGAUUUACUUAGAAUUUAGGAUUUAGGAUUUUCUUAGGAUUUAGGAUUUAAGAUUUUCUUAAGAAUUAGGUUUUGGCCUAAGGUUUGAUUGAAGUCUAUUAGAGUUUCAACUAAAAUUAAAUUAGGACUUAAUUGAUAUUUAUUUAAGAUAUAUUUAUAAUUAUUUUGAUAUUUUUUU